This 448-nucleotide ribosomal RNA is filed under the name uncultured bacterium. Its description in RNAcentral is "bacterial SSU rRNA". It matches the Rfam family "Bacterial small subunit ribosomal RNA", at positions 28 to 456 of the family's 1533-position model. The record is from RNAcentral.
GAUGAACGCUGGCGGCGUGCUUAACACAUGCAAGUCGAACGAAGCACUUUACUUGAUCUCCUUCGGGAUUGAUUGUUCUGUGACUGAGUGGCGGACGGGUGAGUAACGCGUGGAUAACCUGCCUCACACAGGGGGAUAACAGUUGGAAACGGCUGCUAAUACCGCAUAAGCGCACAGCACCGCAUGGUGCAGUGUGAAAAACUCCGGUGGUGUGAGAUGGAUCCGCGUCUGAUUAGCUGGUUGGCGGGGUAACGGCCCACCAAGGCGACGAUCAGUAGCCGGCCUGAGAGGGCGACCGGCCACAUUGGGACUGAGACACGGCCCAGACUCCUACGGGAGGCAGCAGUGGGGAAUAUUGCACAAUGGGGGAAACCCUGAUGCAGCGACGCCGCGUGAGCGAUGAAGUAUUUCGGUAUGUAAAGCUCUAUCAGCAGGGAAGAUAAUGACG